Molecule: non-coding RNA, 96 nt
Organism: Cladorrhinum sp. PSN332
Lineage: Eukaryota; Fungi; Ascomycota; Sordariomycetes; Sordariales; Podosporaceae
Source: the annotation of a GenBank genome assembly
GUCCUCGCAGCGAAGUGGUUACGCGCCCGGUCAACCCCAGCGUUGCAUUUCCCCAGCGUAGACCGGGAGACGCCAGUUCGAACCUGGCCGAGGGCA